CGACCGCUGGCGGCAUGCUUACCACAUGCAAGUCGCCCGGGCAGCAAUGUCAGUGGCGGACGGGUGAGUAACGCGUAGGAACGUGUCCUGAGGUGGGGGACAACCCCGGGAAACUGGGGCUAAUACCGCAUAUGGGCUGAGGCCCAAAGCCGAGAGGCGCCUUUGGAGCGGCCUGCGUCCGAUUAGGUAGUUGGUGGGGUAAAGGCCUACCAAGCCUGCGAUCGGUAGCUGGUCUGAGAGGACGACCAGCCACACUGGGACUGAGACACGGCCCAGACUCCUACGGGAGGCAGCAGUGGGGAAUAUUGGACAAUGGGCGAAAGCCUGAUCCAGCAAUGCCGCGUGGGUGAAGAAGGUCUUCGGAUCGUAAAGCCCUUUCGACGGGGACGAUGAUGACGGUACCCGUAGAAGAAGCCCCGGCUAACUUCGUG
Molecule: ribosomal RNA, 431 nt
Filed under: uncultured bacterium
Lineage: Bacteria
Description: partial 16S ribosomal RNA
Rfam family: Bacterial small subunit ribosomal RNA
Source: RNAcentral